AGAGUUUGAUCAUGGCUCAGAGCGAACGCUGGCGGCGGGCUUAACACAUGCAAGUCGAACGGGCGUAGCAGUACGUCAGUGGCAGACGGGUGAGUAACGCGUGGGAACAUACCUCUUGGUUCGGAACAACACAGGGAAACUUGUGCUAAUACCGGAUAAGCCCUUACGGGGAAAGAUUUGUCGCCGAGAGAUUGGCUCGCGUCUGAUUAGCUAGUUGGUGGGGUAAAGGCCUACCAAGGCGACGAUCAGUAGCUGGUCUGAGAGGAUGAUCAGCCACAUUGGGACUGAGACACGGCCCAAACUCCUACGGGAGGCAGCAGUGGGGAAUAUUGGACAAUGGGCGCAAGCCUGAUCCAGCCAUGCCGCGUGAGUGAUGAAGGCCCUAGGGUUGUAAAGCUCUUUUGUACGGGAAGAUAAUGACGGUACCGUAAGAAUAAGCCCCGGCUAACUUCGUGCCAGCAGCCGCGGUAAUACGAAGGGGGCUAGCGUUGCUCGGAAUCACUGGGCGUAAAGGGUGCGUAGGCGGGUUUUUAAGUCAGAGGUGAAAUCCUGGAGCUCAACUCCAGAACUGCCUUUGAUACUGAAAGUCUUGAGUAUGGGAGAGGUGAGUGGAACUGCGAGUGUAGAGGUGAAAUUCGUAGAUAUUCGCAAGAACACCAGUGGCGAAGGCGGCUCACUGGCCCAUAACUGACGCUGAGGCACGAAAGCGUGGGGAGCAAACAGGAUUAGAUACCCUAGUAGUCC
RNAcentral lists this ribosomal RNA (744 nucleotides) under uncultured bacterium. Its description in RNAcentral is "bacterial SSU rRNA". It matches the Rfam family "Bacterial small subunit ribosomal RNA", at positions 8 to 796 of the family's 1533-position model. The record is from RNAcentral.